Long non-coding RNA from Lolium rigidum, 642 nucleotides. RefSeq lists it as uncharacterized. The transcript has 3 exons. Lineage: Eukaryota; Viridiplantae; Streptophyta; Magnoliopsida; Poales; Poaceae. The record is from RefSeq and is a predicted model, not a curated record.
UCUCUCCUUAUCUUUCCCAAAACGAAGCCCCCUUCCUUCUCUCAUUGUUGCACUCAACGCACCCUCCUCCUUCACCUAGAGCUCGAUUCCCUUUCUCCCAGCUGCCCUCUCCAGCUCCUCCAUGGCCCAGCCCCAACCCACUACAUCUCCUGACUAUGUGUGGUAGGAAGAAGAUGAAGAAGUUGCAAGAGAAGGAAAAGAGUAGGAGAAUGAAGAAGAAAAGAAGAUCCAUGCAUCCCUGCCCAGUUCCCCCUUGUUCAAGCAUCAAGGCAGGUUGUAGCACCACAGUGCAGGAGGUAGCCUCGCACCACCUCCCUCGCACCGGUUGAGGCAAGCACAUCGGGUACAACUUAGUGAUGUUUUGCAAGUGGUUUGAAACGCGUAGCUUCCACAGAUGUGCACUCACAAACUAAAACACCCUUGUAUUCACCUAGCUUUAGCAUGACAACUCACAUGCUUUGGCUUAUGGUUCAUGAUCGCUAGGUUUGCUUUGUGUAUAAAGUAUAAACCUGGUUUGUUUGUUGUCAUGGCAAUUAAGGUUGUUCAUCUAUGGCGUAGCGGGCUGGGACUUCAGCAUCUAGCUCGAUCCAUAUGUGUUGUAUGAGAUUGAUUAUGCUUCCGCUUAUGGUAUUCUUAUAUGUA